UGAACACAUCCUCUGCUGCACCUUGGUCCCCUCUUCCAGACAUCCGUUACAUCAGUGUUGCUUCCUAAGUGGACAGUUUGAUUUCACAGAAGUGUGAUUGACUUGGAGUUACAUUGUGUUGUUUAAGUGUUCCCUUUAUUUUUUUGAGCAGUAUAUAUAUAUAUAUUAGCAGAAAUGUCUUCACCCGUUUUUGCUUUGUCAUUAUGAGGUAUUGUGUGUAGAUUGAUAAGGGGGAAAAUAACGAAUUAAUUAAUUUUAGAAUAAGGCUGUAAUGUAACAAAAUGUGGAAAAAGUCAAGGGGGCUGAAUUCUUUCCGAAUGCAGUGUAUCUACCUCAUACCUUGUACCUCUGCACGUUGGUCUUGUACUGGUGCUCUCUCUAUAUAGCUCCAUUCUUUUGUAUUUUAUUUUAUUCCUUGUGUUCUUGUUUUUAAGCUCUGCAUCGUUGGGAAGGGCUCUGAGCAAGUAUUUCAUGGCUGGACUGCACAGCAGCCAUGUAAUCGCCCACGCCCUCCCUACUCUGGCACUGUAUCAGCCAAUGACUGUAUAUACGAAGGUAUCAGCACGCUUGGCUACAUCGCAUCUCCUUGCCGGAUAGCCUUUGCUGUAUCAGGACAGGACGUCACGGCUUUGACCUAGGGCAAAGAAGCACGAGUUACCCCCUUCCAUCAGAGCAUCUGAACAUACUUCAGUUUAUCGGGCCGAGCACGCACGAGCCAGCAGGUGCCAUGGAGUCGCAUCUCUCUGCCACCGCAUAUCUCGUCCUAGCAUUGGUCUCCACAACAUCUGGGUUCUUCUGGACUCCCCGAGGUCCUCAGAUGUACCCAUGCCUCACCUACAUGGAGCGCAACCUGCGGGUAGACUGUGAGUUCCCUGUGGAAGACAACCCUGCACACCUAGGCCCCUACUGCGAGUACAAGCAGGACAGCCGACUGGUGGGCAGCACCUACCCCAACGCUGUGUCCCUGGUGUCCACAGACAACCGAAGGAGGGCCAACGUGAGCCUGGUCAACCCCACCGUGUGUCGUCUUACCUGGGCUCCGAUGGCGGACGAUAAGCCCUACACCUACACCUGCAGGGUGUACCAGGGGUCUACCUGGAAGGAGAACAGCAUGGCUGUACACCAGCGAAUUCUUCCAAUCUGUUCAGCCCUCAGCGUGAUGUUCCAUACUGGGCUAUUUCUUCUGUCCCUUGUGAUGUCACUUCCUGUAACUAUGGGUCUCCUCUCUCCCUGAUCUCCUUUCAAUGUACAGAUAGCUAGAUGUUGUUACAUGUUUUUAAACAGAUUUUCAUAUCAUUAUUAUAGUACACAAUAAUAACUACAAUUUAUUGAGAUCAUAGUCAAUGUGUAAUGAAACAGUGGUACGUUGGAGGCUGUGGCUCCAUAUUCACUGUUUUCUGACCACUUCAAUGAUCACUUUAAAAACUGAUCCAUCAGACUAGAUCUUAUUCUGUAUUAUCUAUUCUCUAUACUUUAGGCUUUGCUUUUGGAGUAUCAGGUGAGAAUCCUGUCAAAACAAUUUCUUUAUAUCAGUCAAACUUUCAGAACGUCCAGACUUUCAGGCUCUCAUCAGCCCUUUGGCUCAGGGAUGCUAGUACUGGAAUGGGUGGUCAUGUCCUAAAGAGAUUCACAAUGGCUAUGUUUACACAGGCAGACCAAUUUUGAUAUUUUUCCACUAAUCGUUUUUUUAAACAAUCAGAUUAGUUAAAAGCAGCCUUUGUGUAAAAGCAGCCUUUUUUUGGGGGGGGGGUAUAUUUUACAAUAGUUAUCUUGUUAUUUUUAGAACCACCCUUCAGCUUCAUUCAACCCCUCCCAUCUAUCUCUGAAAACCCUCAGGUUUUUUGCAGAGUUAGCUCCAGGUAAACGUUGCAAUUCUUCAGUACCAAAACAAAUGAUCUAAUGAUUCUGUUUCUUCACAGCAAAAUCUGCAGAGCUGGGAUGGUUGUAUAAUCAUUUAAAUUAUUUAACUAAGUUUUGAAUCCAGCAUCAUUUUAUGUAUCAGUUCAUGAACCAUGAAUUCAUUAGGCCUAUGGAUUUUACAUGUCUGGGCAGGUGCACAGCCAUGGGUGGGUGGGAGCCUUUUAUUGUCCCCAGCACAAUGUGCACCUGUGUAAUGAUCAUGCUGUUUAAUCAGCUUCUUGAUAUGCCACACCUGUCAAGUGGAUGGAUUAUCUUGGCAAAGGAGAAAUGCUCACUAAUAGGAAUGUAAACACAUUUGUGCACAACAUUUGAGAGAAAUAAGCUUUUUGUGCAUAUGGAACAUAUUAGAUCUUUUAUUUCAGAUAAUGAAACAUGGGACAAACAUUUUACAUGUUGCUUUUAUAUAUUUGUUCAGUGUAUAUAGCACAGCUGUAUUGUCACAGUUGACUUGGACUGGUGUAAGGCGGAAUCAGAUGCAGGAGACAGGUGCUGGAGAUGAGUGUCCUUUUAAUAAUUUGACACACAAAACAAAACCGCACAAGGCACAGGGCGCUACAGACAGACUGCCUGGGAAAAACACAUUCCCAAUGAACAAAAUAUAUAUAUAAGUGGCACAAAAAGGCACGGGGCGCAGCCCGGUAAAUCCUCUCUUCGUGAAACUGUCAGAAACAAACCCAUAAUAAAACACGGACCACCGUCCUGAGUAGACAAUGAACAAUCCGACACAAAACCCCAACUGAAAACACACACUAAUAAGGCCCCACUAAUGACAGACACAAAACAGGUGCGGAACAGACAGACGAAACCAAAAGACACAGAACCAACGAUCGGUGGCAGCUAAUAGGCCGGCGACGACGACCGCCGAGCACCGCCCGACCGAGGAGGGGCGCCACUUUCGUUGGAUCCUGUGACAUGUAUAUUUUUUGCUCCGUAAAUGAAACUGGCAUACUUUUUUUAUUCAUCACAAUUUUCAUUAACCAAUUUUGGUCUUUAAUGAAGGGGCGACAGACAAGUUUGCAAACGCAGCCUUUGUGAAUCUCUUUAGGACAUGAUCACCCAUUCCCAUAGUAGCAUCCCUGUAGCAUUGAGGAGAUAGUGGGGGGUGAAAAGUAAGGCCAACACUACCGUAUCAGAGUGUGUAUUUGGCUCACAGCCCCUGAUUCUGGGGCACUUAAAGCUGCAAUAUUGUAUGUAACUUUUUGGUUGACCCAACCAAAUUCACAUUGAAAUGUGAUAUGUCAUUCUCAUUAAAAGUCUUAAGAAACUGUGGAUCUGUUCUAUGUGCGCUAUGUCUAUGCUUUCCGUGCUUAAGUUUCUUUUUGUAUCUUUUAUGUUUGGUUUUGUACACCAGCUAUAAAGAGCUGGUUAUACGUUGUUUUUGUACUUGAAAAAAAUUAGGGCAACUAUUAUAAUUUUAGUAACUAGGAAAUGGCAGAGUGAUUUCUGCCUAUUGCAUCAUUAAGGAUUUCCUCUGAAUUACCAUUAAGAUAAUGGAUGAAAUGGAAAUGAUUGGCUAUGGAAUGACUAAGAUAUUUACAUGUCAGGUGGUAUAUGUUGUAACUAUUCAAUAAUUGGUUAAUGAUCAACUCUUGCCUUUUAUUUCAAUCUCAAAGUAUUUAGAAACCUUUCAUGGAUGCAAAGAAAUCUGACGCUCUCUUUAGUUUGAAAGUUUUGUUUACAUUUUGUCAUUCCCAUAUGUUCUUGUAGAUUUCAUACAGUAGAAGCUUGAGCUUAGCUAAAUUGUAUAUCAAAGGAAACAUUACACUUAGUGAUAUCCCCUGUAUUGCAUAAUUACCGAUUGCUGAUUAGCCAUUGAAAGUUCAAGACAUGUCAGGACUGUGUUAAAUGUUUUGAUACUCAGCUUCACAUGGCACAUUAUUCGUUAUUGUAAUAAUGUAUUAAAUCUAUAGGCAACAAUUAUAUUCAACAUUUUGUAAUGUUAUUUUUAAGAAAAUUAUUAAGUGGAAUUGCUUACAGAUGUAUCUUGCCAAAAAUGAUUGAUCAAAUUGUACUUUCACUGCACCAUAGCAUUAUUUUGGAAAUAAUUAUAUAGGUUAUUACAAGUAAAAGUCUUUCAUAUGCUUUGCAGAUGUAAAAAUUCUUGUAGCAAUUUUUUUUAGGACUCAUCAUGGAGGUCAUUCUAGAUCUUUGUCCUCAAAAACCUCCAAUCACUGUGAAUGAGUUCAGAGUCUAGAAGACCACGCUGAAAUCGAGGCUGUUUUAGGACAAGCCCAAAUGAUAGAAAAGUUAUUUAGAUAAUAAGAUCAGGUGGUGAAUGAAUGAGAUAGUUAUGGUAGUAAAUCAAAUGAACUAACUAAAUGUUUCUGGACAAAAAAACUGACUAACUGAAAUUAGCACUUGGAAAUGGACCAGGGUCUCUGAUACACAUGACCAUCACGUGUCCUGAUAGUCGUUAGUACGUUGAUAGUUUGUUGAUGUUAGUUUAUGGUAUGUGCAGAAUGAAAGAACAUGUAGAUGUGAUAAAUAUGUCUAGUUGAUGAUGUCAUUAGCUGCUUUCAUUCUCUUCCUUUCUCAUUCUAAUGCUCUUAUUGCUCCCACGCACAGCUUACACUGGCACUGCGCUAGCUAUCUGCACAUGCUUCAAGUGCCUAGGCUUUUUGAAUGCUGCGUUAUUGUUCAUAUCGGUAUCUGUGUCCUUGCAGACAAUUCUGCUUCUCUUACACGGCACACCUUACUUAGCAAAUAUCCUAUGUGCUGUACCUUUUUGUUUUUAUCACUGUAAUAAUAGUCUAGUCUUCCAUGCACUGAAAUCUCAUUGUAGUUUGACUGCUUUGCAAAGUGGGAUUUGUGAAUGUGAUGUGUACACAUUAGUUUGCCAAACCAGUGUUUUCUCUCCUUUCUUUCUUGCCACUGAAUGUGUACAAAAUGCAAUAGCAAGAAAUAAAAGGUAUAACAGUAAAAAUUGUAUUUUUGUCUUGCUAACAUUUCAGCAUCUUCACUUUAUUUCCAUGAUGUUCACAGACAAUCUACUGUAUAUAUGCUAUUGGCAAGUUUGGUGUUGGUACAGUAUACAUUCAUUUCAGAUUUUGGAGGAAGUUAUUAUAGAAUCAUAAAUCUCUCUUUGGAACAUUAAACUUUUUUUGACCAGGUCAUGUGUUUUGUUCUCGUCCCUGGGGCCUAUGCCUCAGGGCUCCAGUACUGUGACAAUGCAGUCUGACACUAGAGAAGAGGAGAGCACCUUCACUGUGGAUCAAACCAACACGCUUCUGUAAUUGCUGAGGGAGCUGAGGGUACUGCCUGUGUCUCUGUAGCAGAGUUGGAGCAGACCUUAUGCCACUAGAUGGCGGUCCAAUAUGAAAAUAAACAUGGCUGAGAAUAGUAUUGAGAAUUGUGCCAUUACAGACCCAGCAUGCCCUAUAUACAC
RNAcentral lists this long non-coding RNA (5305 nucleotides) under Salmo salar (Atlantic salmon). RNAcentral's name for it is "lncRNA (ENSSSAG00000054659.2)". Lineage: Eukaryota; Metazoa; Chordata; Actinopteri; Salmoniformes; Salmonidae. The record is from RNAcentral.